This 1743-nucleotide ribosomal RNA is filed under the name Escherichia coli. RNAcentral describes it as "partial 23S ribosomal RNA". It matches the Rfam family "Bacterial large subunit ribosomal RNA", at positions 1220 to 2925 of the family's 2925-position model. Lineage: Bacteria; Pseudomonadati; Pseudomonadota; Gammaproteobacteria; Enterobacterales; Enterobacteriaceae. The record is from RNAcentral.
GUUGUUGGGUAGGGGAGCGUUCUGUAAGCCUGCGAAGGUGUGCUGUGAGGCAUGCUGGAGGUAUCAGAAGUGCGAAUGCUGACAUAAGUAACGAUAAAGCGGGUGAAAAGCCCGCUCGCCGGAAGACCAAGGGUUCCUGUCCAACGUUAAUCGGGGCAGGGUGAGUCGACCCCUAAGGCGAGGCCGAAAGGCGUAGUCGAUGGGAAACAGGUUAAUAUUCCUGUACUUGGUGUUACUGCGAAGGGGGGACGGAGAAGGCUAUGUUGGCCGGGCGACGGUUGUCCCGGUUUAAGCGUGUAGGCUGGUUUUCCAGGCAAAUCCGGAAAAUCAAGGCUGAGGCGUGAUGACGAGGCACUACGGUGCUGAAGCAACAAAUGCCCUGCUUCCAGGAAAAGCCUCUAAGCAUCAGGUAACAUCAAAUCGUACCCCAAACCGACACAGGUGGUCAGGUAGAGAAUACCAAGGCGCUUGAGAGAACUCGGGUGAAGGAACUAGGCAAAAUGGUGCCGUAACUUCGGGAGAAGGCACGCUGAUAUGUAGGUGAAGUCCCUCGCGGAUGGAGCUGAAAUCAGUCGAAGAUACCAGCUGGCUGCAACUGUUUAUUAAAAACACAGCACUGUGCAAACACGAAAGUGGACGUAUACGGUGUGACGCCUGCCCGGUGCCGGAAGGUUAAUUGAUGGGGUCAGCGCAAGCGAAGCUCUUGAUCGAAGCCCCGGUAAACGGCGGCCGUAACUAUAACGGUCCUAAGGUAGCGAAAUUCCUUGUCGGGUAAGUUCCGACCUGCACGAAUGGCGUAAUGAUGGCCAGGCUGUCUCCACCCGAGACUCAGUGAAAUUGAACUCGCUGUGAAGAUGCAGUGUACCCGCGGCAAGACGGAAAGACCCCGUGAACCUUUACUAUAGCUUGACACUGAACAUUGAGCCUUGAUGUGUAGGAUAGGUGGGAGGCUUUGAAGUGUGGACGCCAGUCUGCAUGGAGCCGGCCUUGAAAUACCACCCUUUAAUGUUUGAUGUUCUAACGUUGACCCGUAAUCCGGGUUGCGGACAGUGUCUGGUGGGUAGUUUGACUGGGGCGGUCUCCUCCUAAAGAGUAACGGAGGAGCACGAAGGUUGGCUAAUCCUGGUCGGACAUCAGGAGGUUAGUGCAAUGGCAUAAGCCAGCUUGACUGCGAGCGUGACGGCGCGAGCAGGUGCGAAAGCAGGUCAUAGUGAUCCGGUGGUUCUGAAUGGAAGGGCCAUCGCUCAACGGAUAAAAGGUACUCCGGGGAUAACAGGCUGAUACCGCCCAAGAGUUCAUAUCGACGGCGGUGUUUGGCACCUCGAUGUCGGCUCAUCACAUCCUGGGGCUGAAGUAGGUCCCAAGGGUAUGGCUGUUCGCCAUUUAAAGUGGUACGCGAGCUGGGUUUAGAACGUCGUGAGACAGUUCGGUCCCUAUCUGCCGUGGGCGCUGGAGAACUGAGGGGGGCUGCUCCUAGUACGAGAGGACCGGAGUGGACGCAUCACUGGUGUUCGGGUUGUCAUGCCAAUGGCACUGCCCGGUAGCUAAAUGCGGAAGAGAUAAGUGCUGAAAGCAUCUAAGCACGAAACUUGCCCCGAGAUGAGUUCUCCCUGACUCCUUGAGAGUCCUGAAGGAACGUUGAAGACGACGACGUUGAUAGGCCGGGUGUGUAAGCGCAGCGAUGCGUUGAGCUAACCGGUACUAAUGAACCGUGAGGCUUAACCUUACAACGCCGAAGCUGUU